RNAcentral lists this ribosomal RNA (253 nucleotides) under uncultured bacterium. Its description in RNAcentral is "partial 16S ribosomal RNA". It matches the Rfam family "Bacterial small subunit ribosomal RNA", at positions 524 to 776 of the family's 1533-position model. The record is from RNAcentral.
UACAGAGGGGGCAAGCGUUGUUCGGAAUUACUGGGCGUAAAGGGCGCGUAGGCGGCCUUCUAAGUCGAACGUGAAAUCCCCGGGCUCAACCCGGGAACUGCGUCCGAUACUGGAAGGCUUGAAUCCGGGAGAGGGAUGUGGAAUUCCAGGUGUAGCGGUGAAAUGCGUAGAUAUCUGGAGGAACACCGGUGGCGAAGGCGACAUCCUGGACCGGCAUUGACGCUGAGGAGCGAAAGCCAGGGGAGCAAACGGG